UACACGCCCCUGGAAACGGGGUCUAAUACCGGAUACUGAUCAUCUUGGGCAUCCUUGGUGAUCGAAAGCUCCGGCGGUGCAGGAUGAGCCCGCGGCCUAUCAGCUUGUUGGUGAGGUAAUGGCUCACCAAGGCGACGACGGGUAGCCGGCCUGAGAGGGCGACCGGCCACACUGGGACUGAGACACGGCCCAGACUCCUACGGGAGGCAGCAGUGGGGAAUAUUGCACAAUGGGCGAAAGCCUGAUGCAGCGACGCCGCGUGAGGGAUGACGGCCUUCGGGUUGUAAACCUCUUUCAGCAGGGAAGAAGCGAAAGUGACGGUACCUGCAGAAGAAGCGCCGGCUAACUACGUGCCAGCAGCCGCGGUAAUACGUAGGGCGCGAGCGUUGUCCGGAAUUAUUGGGCGUAAAGAGCUCGUAGGCGGCUUGUCGCGUCGGUUGUGAAAGCCCGGGGCUUAACCCCGGGUCUGCA
RNAcentral lists this ribosomal RNA (471 nucleotides) under Streptomyces sp. udsc2. RNAcentral's name for it is "bacterial SSU rRNA". It matches the Rfam family "Bacterial small subunit ribosomal RNA", at positions 142 to 625 of the family's 1533-position model. The record is from RNAcentral. Lineage: Bacteria; Bacillati; Actinomycetota; Actinomycetes; Kitasatosporales; Streptomycetaceae.